This 465-nucleotide ribosomal RNA is filed under the name uncultured bacterium. Its description in RNAcentral is "partial 16S ribosomal RNA". It matches the Rfam family "Bacterial small subunit ribosomal RNA", at positions 28 to 507 of the family's 1533-position model. The record is from RNAcentral.
GACGAACGCUGGCGGCGUGCUUAACACAUGCCAGUCGAACGGAAAGGCCCUGCUUGCAGGGUACUCGAGUGGCGAACGGGUGAGUAACACGUGGGUGAUCUGCCCUGCACUUCGGGAUAAGCCUGGGAAACUGGGUCUAAUACCGGAUAGGAGCCAUUUUUAGUGUGAUGGUUGGAAAGUUUUUUCGGUAUAGGAUGAGCUCGCGGCCUAUCAGCUUGUUGGUGGGGUAAUGGCCUACCAAGGCGGCGACGGGUAGCCGGCCUGAGAGGGUGGACGGCCACAUUGGGACUGAGAUACGGCCCAGACUCCUACGGGAGGCAGCAGUGGGGAAUAUUGCACAAUGGGCGCAAGCCUGAUGCAGCGACGCCGCGUGGGGGAUGACGGCCUUCGGGUUGUAAACUCCUUUCGCUAGGGACGAAGCUUUUUGUGACGGUACCUAGAUAAGAAGCACCGGCUAACUACGUG